Chlorocebus sabaeus (green monkey) is the source of this 112-nucleotide microRNA precursor. Lineage: Eukaryota; Metazoa; Chordata; Mammalia; Primates; Cercopithecidae. The record is from Ensembl.
ACAGAGAUACACGUUUUCUUUGCUAAGUCCCUUCUUUCUAUCCUAGUAUAACUUGAAGAAUUCAAAUAGUCAUGCUAGGACAGAAAGAAUGGGAGUUGGCAAGGGAAGAAGA